GGAAUAUUGCGCAAUGGCCGACAGGCUGACGCAGCGACGCCGCGUGUGGGAGGAAGCCCUUCGGUGUGUAAACCACUGUCAGGAGGGAAGAAACUCGGACGCUCGAACAGGGCGAUCGAUUGACGGUACCUCCAAAGGAAGCGCCGGCUAACUCCGUGCCCGCAGCCGCGGUAAGACGGAGGGCGCAAGCGUUGUUCGGAAUCACUGGGCGUAAAGCGCACGCAGGCGGUUUCUUAAGUCCUCUGUUAAAUCCCGGGGCUCAACCCCGGAGGUGCAGAAGAUACUGAGAGACUAGAGACCGGUAGAGGCUAGCGGAAUUCCUGGUGUAGCGGUGGAAUGCGUAGAUAUCAGGAGGAACACCGGUGGCGAAGGCGGCUAGCUGGGCCGGUUCUGACGCUCAUGUGCGAAAGCGUGGGGAGCAAAC
This 424-nucleotide ribosomal RNA is filed under the name uncultured bacterium. RNAcentral describes it as "bacterial SSU rRNA". It matches the Rfam family "Bacterial small subunit ribosomal RNA", at positions 358 to 773 of the family's 1533-position model. The record is from RNAcentral.